GUUUACAGCCAGACCAUCCUGAACAUGCCUAAUCUCCUCUAUCUAAGAAGCUAAGCAGGGUUGGGCAUGGUUAAUACUUGGUUGGAAGGAAGUGAAUUAAAUGCUAAAGGAAUAGGCAGUUAAAA
This is a ribosomal RNA of Saimiri boliviensis boliviensis (Bolivian squirrel monkey), 125 nucleotides long. Lineage: Eukaryota; Metazoa; Chordata; Mammalia; Primates; Cebidae. The record is from Ensembl.